UCGAGAAUCUUCCGCAAUGGACGAAAGUCUGACGGAGCGACGCCGCGUGCGGGAUGAAGGCCCUUGGGUUGUAAACCGCUGUCAGAGGGGAUGAAAUCUUCGGAGGUACUCCUCCGAAGUUGACAGAGCCUCAAAGGAAGCACGGGCUAAGUACGUGCCAGCAGCCGCGGUAACACGUACUGUGCGAACGUUAUUCGGAAUCACUGGGCUUAAAGGGUGCGUAGGCGGCGAUUCAAGUCAGGUGUGAAAUGCCUGAGCUCAACUGAGGCAUUGCGCUUGAAACUGAAUUGCUAGAGUAUCCCAGGGGUGUGCGGAACUGCCAGUGGAACGGUGAAAUGUGUUGAUAUUGGCAGGAACACCGGAGGCGAAAGCGGCACACUGGGGGAUAACUGACGCUGAGGCACGAAAGCCAAGGGAGCGAACGGGAUUAGAUACCCCCGUAGUCCCUGAGCGGGCUGGCAAGGCGCAU
RNAcentral lists this ribosomal RNA (469 nucleotides) under uncultured bacterium. RNAcentral's name for it is "bacterial SSU rRNA". It matches the Rfam family "Bacterial small subunit ribosomal RNA", at positions 355 to 825 of the family's 1533-position model. The record is from RNAcentral.